Molecule: unclassified non-coding RNA, 657 nt
Filed under: Hevea brasiliensis (rubber tree)
Lineage: Eukaryota; Viridiplantae; Streptophyta; Magnoliopsida; Malpighiales; Euphorbiaceae
Source: RNAcentral
AUAUAUAUAUAUAUAUAUAAUUCCGAAGAAGUAUGCUGUUUCUCAUACCAGGAUGACCAUGCAGACUUUGUCCCUGCAAAAAAAAUGUAUCCGAACAUGUCUGCUUGUGUUUAUCUAUAAGUUCUGAUUCUUCUGAAUAUCGUCAGUUCAUUCACAAGCGUGUUCUUAGUUUCCUAUCCAUAUUUACGUCUCCUGGAUUUCUCUCUCUUUCUCUCUCCCAUAAUUUUGUUCAUGUUUUUAAUAUGCAAUUUGGAAAUCUCAGACAAGAAAAUGGAAAACUUUAGGCAAAUUUGCUUUAUGUAGCUUUACAAUAUUAUCAAUGACUACAAUUUGUACCUCAUGUUGAAUUGCUUUGCACUUCCUUGCCCUUGCUGAGCUACUCCUGAAUUUUUUUAAAAAGAAAAAAGAAAGAAAGAAAAAAAAGCUACGAUUUAAAAAUAUUAAUAAUAAAUUUGCAUUAAAUUAUUUAUUUAUUUUUUAGUAUAUUUUUCCUUUUCAUAAUUUAUUUAUUUUUAUUUAAUUUUUACGAAUCAAUCUCUACCAUAUGUCAUUUGAUUUUUGGCGAUUUUUAUAGUUAUAGCAGAGAUUUUUUAUAGAGUCUGUUUUGUUGGUUAAUCAAUUUAAGAAUGAAUGGACAAGGACCGUGGUGCAUGGGAG